Molecule: non-coding RNA, 109 nt
Filed under: uncultured Ruminococcus sp.
Lineage: Bacteria; Bacillati; Bacillota; Clostridia; Eubacteriales; Oscillospiraceae
Description: FMN riboswitch (RFN element)
Rfam family: FMN riboswitch aptamer (RFN element)
About the family: The RFN element is a highly conserved domain that is found frequently in the 5'-untranslated regions of prokaryotic mRNAs that encode for flavin mononucleotide (FMN) biosynthesis and transport proteins. This element is a metabolite-dependent riboswitch that directly binds FMN in the absence of proteins. In Bacillus subtilis, the riboswitch most likely controls gene expression by causing premature transcription termination within the 5' untranslated region of the ribDEAHT operon and precluding access to the ribosome-binding site of ypaA mRNA.
Source: RNAcentral
UGUCUUCGGGGCGGAGUGAAAUUCUCCACCGGCGGUAUAGCCCGCGAGCAGUUUUCUGCUGAGCCUGUGAGAUUCAGGCGCCGACGGUAUAGUCCGGAUGAAAGAAGAU